Molecule: ribosomal RNA, 111 nt
Filed under: Ochotona princeps (American pika)
Lineage: Eukaryota; Metazoa; Chordata; Mammalia; Lagomorpha; Ochotonidae
Source: RNAcentral
AUCUGCAGUCAUACCACCCUGGAUGCUACAGAUUUCAUCUGAUCUUGGAGCUAAGCAGGGUAGGGCCUGAUUAGCACUUGGGUGGAAGACACAUUUUUAAGACAACAAAUU